AGAGAGAGAGAGGUUGAGAGAGAGGUUGAGAGAGAGAGGUUGAGAGAGAGAGAGAGAGGUUGAGAGAGAGAGAGAUUGAGAGAGAGAGAGAGAGAGGUUGAGAGAGAGUUGAGAGAGAGAGAGGUUGAGAGAGAGAGAGAGAGAGGUUGAGAGAGAGAGAGGUUGAGAGAGAGAGAGAGAGAGAGAGGUUGAGAGAGAGGUUGAGAGAGAGAGGUUGAGAGAGAGAGAGAGAGAGAGAGAGAGAGAGAGAGAGAGAGGUUGAGAGAGAGAGGUUGAGAGAGAGAGGUUGAGAGAGAGAGAGAGAGGUUGAGAGAGAGAGAGAGAGGUUGAGAGAGAGAGAUUGAGAGAGAGAGGUUGAGAGAGAGAGAGAGAUUGAGAGAGAGAGAGAUUGAGAGAGAGAGGGGGAGAGAGAGGUUGAGAGAGAGAGAUAGGUUGAGAGAGAGAGAAGUUGAGAGGGAGAGGUUGAGAGAGAGAGAGGUUGGGAG
Long non-coding RNA from Oncorhynchus tshawytscha (Chinook salmon), 485 nucleotides. NCBI's taxonomy places the organism in Eukaryota, Metazoa, Chordata, Actinopteri, Salmoniformes, Salmonidae. The record is from Ensembl.